GAAAGCCUGACGGAGCAAGACCGCGUGAGGGAGGAAGGCUCUUGGGUUGUAAACCUCUUUUCUCUGGGAAGAACAAAAUGACGGUACCAGAGGAAUCAGCAUCGGCUAACUCCGUGCCAGCAGCCGCGGUAAGACGGAGGAUGCAAGCGUUAUCCGGAAUGAUUGGGCGUAAAGCGUCCGCAGGUGGCAAUUCAAGUCUGCUGUUAAAGCGCAGGGCUUAACUCUGUAAAGGCAGUGGAAACUGAAUAGCUAGAGUGUGGUAGGGGCAGAGGGAAUUCCCAGUGUAGCGGUGAAAUGCGUAGAGAUUGGGAAGAACAUCGGUGGCGAAGGCGCUCUGCUGGACCAUAACUGACACUCACAGGACGAAAGCUAGGGGAGCGAAUGGGAUUAGAUACCCCAGUAGUCCUAGCCGUAAACGAUGGAUACUAGGUGUUGUCUGUAUCGACCCGGACAGUGCCGUAGCUAACGCGUUAAGUAUCCCGCCUGGGGAGUACGCACGCAAGUGUGAAACUCAAAGGAAUUGACGGGGGCCCGCACAAGCGGUGGAGUAUGUGGUUUAAUUCGAUGCAACGCGAAGAACCUUACCAGGACUUGACAUGUCGCGAAUCUGAGUGAAAGCUCGGAGUGCCUUCGGGAGCGCGAACACAGGUGGUGCAUGGCUGUCGUCAGCUCGUGUCGUGAGAUGUUGGGUUAAGUCCCGCAACGAGCGCAACCCUCGUUUUUAGUUGCCAGCAUUAAGUUGGGCACUCUAAAGAGACUGCCGGUGACAAACCGGAGGAAGGUGGGGAUGACGUCAAGUCAGCAUGCCCCUUACGUCCUGGGCUACACACGUACUACAAUGGUAGGGACAGAGGGCAGCCAACUCGCGAGAGUGAGCUAAUCCCGUAAACCCUGCCUCAGUUCAGAUCGCAGGCUGCAACUCGCCUGCGUGAAGGCGGAAUCGCUAGUAAUCGCCGGUCAGCAUACGGCGGUGAUUCCGUUCCCGGGCCUUGUACACACCGCCCGUCACACCAUGGAAGUUGGCCAUGCCCGAAGUCGUUACUCUAACCGUAAGGAGGAGGGUGCCGAAGGCAGGGCUGAUGACUGGGGUGAAGUCGUAACAAGGUAGCCGUACCGGAAGGUGUGGCUGGAUCACCUCCUUUUAGGGAGACCAACUGAAAUUUAACUAAUACACUUUCACGCGUAAUAUUCAGAUAUCUCUGGGCGUUCGAGGAAAUUGUCGUCGAAGUGCUUUCAAACUAUUACCUAGUUCGGUUGAUGGGCUAUUAGCUCAGUUGGUUAGAGCGCACCCCUGAUAAGGGUGAGGUCUCUGGUUCAAAUCCAGAAUGGCCCACCUUAAUUAGAAGUUAAAAAUAUCUAAUUAGAAAUACUAAAUUUUUAAUUUGUAAUUUUUAAUUUGUAAUUUCCCAAAGCGUGGGGGUAUAGCUCAGUUGGUAGAGCGCUGCCUUUGCAAGGCAGAUGUCAGCGGUUCGAGUCCGCUUACCUCCACUCUUACCCAACCAGCCGAAAACAAACAGAAACAAUCAAGACCAAAAACAAAAAAAUAAGUCAAAAAACUGUUGCGCUUUUAGCAAUAUGUGAUAGACUAGAAAGAGUGACUAUAAAAGCUCAGCACCUAGAUUCAGCUACUAGCUAAUCGGAAUGCUGGUCUUCCAAGUCCAGCCAGAACCUUGAAAACUGCAUAGAAAUAAGUCAUCAAAAAGUUUGAYUGACAUUUACCAGGAAUUUAUUCCGCGUAAAA
This 1741-nucleotide small RNA is filed under the name Kamptonema sp. PET_11_9. RNAcentral's name for it is "bacterial SSU rRNA". The stretch from base 1 to 1142 matches the Rfam family "Bacterial small subunit ribosomal RNA", at positions 377 to 1533 of the family's 1533-position model. The record is from RNAcentral. Lineage: Bacteria; Bacillati; Cyanobacteriota; Cyanophyceae; Oscillatoriales; Microcoleaceae.